GCCAGUCCAUUGACAUUCCAGGAGCUCCACUUAAUCUCUCCUGCGCAAGUCCACUCCAGCCACCCAGUCCUGUUCCGCCAACAUUUGACAUAAGGUUUGGUGAAGUCAUAGGGCUGGGACUUCUAUGCCGAAACCUAUCUAGCUCACCAAAACCUUGGUUUGGCAUCAUUCCUGAAACCCUCAUGAUCUCUUGAUUCAAGAGUGUGCUACAUAUAGGAAGAACUUGCA
This 228-nucleotide unclassified non-coding RNA is filed under the name Hevea brasiliensis (rubber tree). Lineage: Eukaryota; Viridiplantae; Streptophyta; Magnoliopsida; Malpighiales; Euphorbiaceae. The record is from RNAcentral.